AUAAUAAAAUAAAAGUUUAUGUAAUCUUAACACCGAUCAUUACCGUUAAACUUGGAGACACAUACUCAUAGCUUGGUAGUCUACUUUAACGUGAUACUGGCAAAUCUGUGGUGUGUCUGCCACAGAAGCCACAGUAGGAAAAAUAGAAUAGAAAGUUUUUUGUUAGUUUCACGCUACAUGAGGUUUAAAAUACAACUGACAGUGCACGUCAUGUUAUUCAAGUUGACCGGUUGGUGUGUUUGUUUCGAGUUUCUAUUAGCUUAUUGUGCCGAUAUUAUCAUUAACAAUGUCACGACCAAGACGACAAAGACGUAAUGCAACUAUGAUUCGAAAUAUUGCGAAUGAAAGGACUGAAGAAGAACAAGAAAUUGCAGGUGAAAAGAACCGCGUUAGUAUGGAUCGUCUUCGUGCUAUGAAUCACAAGAGCAAAGCGUAGCAGCCCGUAAAACGGAUCAGCUGGCAAUACGAAAUCGUCAAGUAAAACUUCAGAGAUCAACAACUUAUAGGUAAUUUUCGACGCACAAGAAGAAGUUUAUGAAGUACUGAUUUGAAUCGAGCAGUUUCGAUACGAUUGCAGUACUUAUACUGUACUGUAGUACUGCUUGCAUACUAGCUUUCGCAUUGGGCCGAUGGACGUUGUUUGCGAGUAUUCUGCGGAAAAACACAAGAAUUGUGCUACCAUGUUCUAGAAAACACUCAAAAAUACAAUGUUUGUUUCCAAAUGACCUCAUUUGGGGCAGACAUCUAAGAACGAGGAUUUAAUUCGACAUUCAAGAAGAUGCUGUGCAUCACACUCCAUCAAGGAAGAGAAGACCACAUGUCAUUUUAAAGAAAAUGAAACUUUCACCUCAUUGUGCAAGUCUUUAUCGUGAAUUUACCAAAUCACGAAACCAGCUUAACUUUGAUUUAAGAGCUAAAAGUGCAUUUUCACAAGAGAAAUUUUUAUGAAUGCAGAUUAAACAGGCUUACAAUAAGUUUAAAACGAAAAUGAAAAAUAAAAUAAGAUAACAUGA
Molecule: long non-coding RNA, 1013 nt
Organism: Leptidea sinapis
Lineage: Eukaryota; Metazoa; Arthropoda; Insecta; Lepidoptera; Pieridae
Exons: 2
Source: RefSeq, a predicted model, not a curated record